Molecule: ribosomal RNA, 442 nt
Filed under: uncultured Alphaproteobacteria bacterium
Lineage: Bacteria; Pseudomonadati; Pseudomonadota; Alphaproteobacteria
Description: bacterial SSU rRNA
Rfam family: Bacterial small subunit ribosomal RNA
Source: RNAcentral
AACGAACGCUGGCGGCAGGCCUAACACAUGCAAGUCGAACGAGAACGGUACUUCGGUACUUAUUAAAGUGGCAGACGGGUGCGUAACGCGUGGGAAUCUACUUAUCAGUCUGGGAUAGCCCUGUGAAAACGGGAUUAAUACCAGAUACGCCCGUAAGGGGAAAGUUUUAUCGCUGAUAAAUGAGCCCGCGUUAGAUUAGGUAGUUGGUAGGGUAAUGGCCUACCAAGCCUACGAUUUAUAGCUGGUCUGAGAGGAUGAUCAGCCACACUGGGACUGAGACACGGCCCAGACUCCUACGGGAGGCAGCAGUGGGGAAUAUUGGACAAUGGGCGAAAGCCUGAUCCAGCCAUGCCGCGUGAGUGAUGAAGGCCUUCGGGUUGUAAAACUCUUUCAAUUGUGAAGAUGAUGACGGUAACAAUAGAAGAAGCCCCGGCUAAUUUCG